This 467-nucleotide ribosomal RNA is filed under the name uncultured bacterium. RNAcentral describes it as "partial 16S ribosomal RNA". It matches the Rfam family "Bacterial small subunit ribosomal RNA", at positions 28 to 506 of the family's 1533-position model. The record is from RNAcentral.
GACGAACGCUGGCGGCGUGCUUAACACAUGCAAGUCGAACGGAAAGGCCCUGCUUUUGUGGGGUGCUCGAGUGGCGAACGGGUGAGUAACACGUGAGUAACCUGCCCUUGACUUUGGGAUAACUUCAGGAAACUGGGGCUAAUACCGGAUAGGAGCUCCUGCUGCAUGGUGGGGGUUGGAAAGUUUCGGCGGUUGGGGAUGGACUCGCGGCUUAUCAGCUUGUUGGUGGGGUAGUGGCUUACCAAGGCUUUGACGGGUAGCCGGCCUGAGAGGGUGACCGGCCACAGUGGGACUGAGAUACGGCCCAGACUCCUACGGGAGGCAGCAGUGGGGAAUAGUGCACAAUGGGCGGAAGCCUGAUGCAGCAACGCCGCGUGCGGGAUGACGGCCUUCGGGUUGUAAACCGCUUUCGCCUGUGACGAAGCGUGAGUGACGGUAAUGGGUAAAGAAGCACCGGCUAACUACGU